Long non-coding RNA from Scophthalmus maximus (turbot), 1832 nucleotides. RefSeq lists it as uncharacterized. The record is from RefSeq and is a predicted model, not a curated record. The transcript is spliced from 2 exons. Lineage: Eukaryota; Metazoa; Chordata; Actinopteri; Pleuronectiformes; Scophthalmidae.
GUGUGUAAAACAUUUGCAGAGUGCAUAUUCUCAUUUGAAAUUGGAUUUGUCGGAUCAUAAUUUUGGCCCCCGGGGGCCUCCGGAAGCUCUGGUCCAGCCACGACAUUGGCAAGAGGAGAAUACACGUCGUCUCUAGAACUGGAUUCGCCAUAAUUCUGCAACCGUAACCAUGGUGAACAUCCACUGAAGAUCACUCGGAUCUAUGGGACAGGCUCUCCAGUCUGUGUCUCAGUUCAGGCAGCAGUCCCGUCCAACUUGAGAGCAGCCAGGGAAUCAGUAGCCGCUUCCUCUUCGCCCUCUUCCUCCUCUUCUUCAUCUUCCUCCUCCUCCUCUUCGUCCUCCUCCUCAUCUUCCUCAUCGUCGUCAUCUUCGUCAUAGUCGUCCUGUCGGUCUCCACCUCCGGACGCUAAGUUCUUCCAGUAGGCGUCGUACCCUGACGCACCAUCGUCAUCGUCGUAGUCAUCGGCUCCAGCCUGGCGGCCAAACUUCAACGUCCGAGCUGCAGAAGAACAGGCAUGGAGUCAUUUACUUACAUCUGCUGAGAGAUAUUCUGUUUCUUUUUGGAAAAUCUGGUUCAUGUAUUUCAGUUAUUUCAGAUCCUUUAUUGGAUUAUAUUUAUUUCAUUGUGCACAAAAGUAGCUUUUAGGAUACUUCCAGCUUGUGUCACCAAAACAAUCGCUAAUUCUGUUUUCCUAAAAAGAAAUAAAACAAAUUAACUGUGAUCUUUGAAACUCCUUAAAUGUUAUUUAACAACAUUAUUGAUUUUAUAUAUAUAUUUUAUAUUAAUUUUUUUAAUUAUUAUUAUUAAGAUGAUUUGAACAGUCUAUAAAUAGCUAAAAAUCCUUUAUUUGUCCAACAAUGGGGAUUUGGGAAUCCUAUGAAGAUUCUGUAAUUACCUUCAGAACAGUGACUAGUGCUGUUAAAUGACCUGUUUUUUGUUUUUAAAGGUAUUUUAUUUGGUAAUUCAAAAGCUUUCCUCAAAGAUUACUGAUAAUUUGUAAUAACGGCUGUUAAUGCUUUCAAACUGGUUAGAGAGCGACUUACACAGAAAAUAAUGAAAUGAACGCUACAACAAAAUGACGGAUGUGGACGAUGUAAUUAUUGGUACUUUCAACAUGUGAAGGUGCUGGGAAGCAUCUCAUCUCUCUUUUAAGAAUUAAUCAAACCAUAAUUUUGACUGUAAUCUUAAAUCAGCCAUUGUAAGUACUUAAUCACAUAAUUAAAAAGUUAAUAUCUCUAAAGCCCUGUGGGAGACUGACUUUAUCUCCUUGUCUCACUCUCACAUGAAGAUAACAUUAGAUAGAAUACCUGUGUUAUGCUGUGGCCAACAGGGUCUGUCGAUUAAUUACUGGCAAACUACUAAUUCCAUGAUCAAGGAUGAACCUUCAAGCUCAAGCGGUUCCAUCACAUUACACUUGGAUUAUACUGCAGUGCUUCAAUGUUGUAACUGAAGUAAUCAUACACGAGUAAAUAAGUAAAAAAAACAAGUGACACUAGGUCAGAUACAUCUCUUUUGGUCAUAAAUAGUGUAGUGUAUUUUUGUCCAUAUAUGGAAUGAGAGGGGAAUAUGUGUUUACAUCUCUUUCUUUGAAAUGCCAAGAUAAGGGUCUCCUGAUGACCCCUCACCUCACCUUUUGACCCCUUUAAGUUCCAUGUCUAACAUAGCAUAACUUGAUUCUAACCAGAGGUUCUUACACAAGUAAACAAUGGACCUAUAAAUAUUACCCCCAAGAAGAGUCGGGAGGGUUGUCAUUUUGGCCGGACACUCUCCAAGCUCUGCAGAGCUUGAAUCGAUGCUGGUCUUUUUGUAAUAAACCUUUAUAUACAAUCAA